CGUGGGAACGUGCCCUUUGGUUCGGAACAACACAGGGAAAUUUGUGCUAAUACCGGAUAAGCCCUUACGGGGAAAGAUUUAUUGCCAAAGGAUCGGCCCGCGUCUGAUUAGCUAGUUGGUGGGGUAAUGGCCCACCAAGGCGACGAUCAGUAGCUGGUCUGAGAGGAUGAUCAGCCUCAUUGGGACUGAGACACGGCCCAAACUCCUACGGGAGGCAGCAGUAGGGAAUAUUGGACAAUGGGCGCAAGCCUGAUCCAGCCAUGCCGCGUGAGUGAUGAAGGCCUUAGGGUUGUAAAGCUCUUUCGGCGGGGAAGAUAAUGACGGUACCCGCAUAAGAAGCCCCGGCUAACUUCGUGCCAGCAGCCGCGGUAAUACGAAGGGGGCUAGCGUUGCUCGGAAUCACUGGGCGUAAAGCGCACGUAGGCGGACUCUUAAGUCAGGGGUGAAAUCCUGGAGCUCAACUCCAGAACUGCCUUUGAUACUGGGAGCCUUGAGUUCGGGAGAGGUGAGUGGAACUGCGAGUGUAGAGGUGAAAUUCGUAGAUAUUCGCAAGAACACCAGUGGCGAAGGCGGCUCACUGGCCCGAUACUGACGCUGAGGUGCGAAAGCGUGGGGAGCAA
This 620-nucleotide ribosomal RNA is filed under the name uncultured bacterium. RNAcentral describes it as "bacterial SSU rRNA". It matches the Rfam family "Bacterial small subunit ribosomal RNA", at positions 116 to 771 of the family's 1533-position model. The record is from RNAcentral.